RNAcentral lists this ribosomal RNA (326 nucleotides) under uncultured eukaryote. RNAcentral describes it as "partial 18S ribosomal RNA". It matches the Rfam family "Eukaryotic small subunit ribosomal RNA", at positions 1470 to 1796 of the family's 1831-position model. The record is from RNAcentral.
CCCUUAGAUGUUCUGGGCUGCACGCGCGCUACACUGAUGCGUUCAACGAGUUUAUGACCUUGCCCGAUAGGGUUGGGUAAUCUUUUUAAAUCGCAUCGUGAUGGGGAUAGAUUAUUGCAAUUAUUAAUCUUCAACGAGGAAUUCCUAGUAAGCGCGAGUCAUCAGCUCGUGCUGAUUACGUCCCUGCCCUUUGUACACACCGCCCGCCGCUCCUACCGAUUGAGUGAUCCGGUGAAUAAUUCGGACUGCAGCAGUGUUCAGUUCCUGAACGUUGCAGCGGAAAGUUUAGUGAACCUUAUCACUUAGAGGAAGGAGAANUCGUAACA